Lethenteron reissneri (Far Eastern brook lamprey) is the source of this 1315-nucleotide long non-coding RNA. RefSeq lists it as uncharacterized. The record is from RefSeq and is a predicted model, not a curated record. Lineage: Eukaryota; Metazoa; Chordata; Hyperoartia; Petromyzontiformes; Petromyzontidae.
CGCCCAUCGCGUCUCUCGAUCUCGCGGCGCGCCCUCGCAAUCCAAAGCCAUCCAAAGGCAUCUCUCGCGAGCCUUCUCCCGUUUCACCCACGACUCCGAUCAUCGGCCUCGUCGGCGUCUUCUUUACAGCUUCGCUGCAAACACAUUUGUCUUAGCGGCGCGUUUUAAAUAGCAAAGAAUGCACACGGAACGCAGCGUGAUGUUUCGCGUGCACGCCUCCACCCAAUGGCGUGGCCUACGCACUCCACGUGUCCGGGCCCGACCCGAUGGUCAAGACGGUGGUUGAGGCCUUUGCGGAACCGUCGUGAGCAGAGUGGAUGAACGAAGUCGGCGUUCAUGGUCCAGCAAAGAUUGUGUGAGCUGCACCAGUUUGGGAUCUGGCCCAGUGAACAAGAGUCCGGUGCCUGGUGUGAAGAGAGGUUGCCUCUGAUGCACGUGCCCAGCAGGCGUGUGUUCUGCUGUGGGCAUCGGCCAGCAGCGUGGAUGGAUGAAGCCUGGUAUUCCUGACCCAAAGAGCAGAGGAGGUUGGGAUCUGGGGCGACUGCUCUGUGCCCAGAGUGACCAGAAGAGUUACGGGUUUACGCAGAGAAAAGAAAAGAGAUCAUCAUGGCCGUUUGCUGAAAAUCAGAACUGAAGAUUGGGCUGAAAAACAAGAACUUAACUAUUCCUAUAAACGGCAUUGCCCAUGGGAAUAACCACUGUGGUUGAACGAUAAAAAAUUGUAAUAUAAUCAUGGAGCAUAAUUGAUUUAAAAAAAAGUUGAUUAUGCCCCCCCCCGUGUUAUGCAUUUUUUAAAUGUAAUACUUGCUAAGUUGUGAACACUGCCUUAUAACAUUAAACAGUGUAUGAAAUGGGCUGGUGCACGGCUGUAUGCACCACUUGGAACACCAAAUGUGUAUACUGGCACACUUAACAUUUUAACCUAACAUCACCAAUAUUUGGAAAUGGCCGUGGGCUGCAGGAUCAAGUUUCGUACCGGCACUUCUGUAUUUGCGUUUCAACCACUGACCAGAAAAAAUAAUGGGCUAAAAUGGGGCAAUGGCCCUUAAAGUAUUGAUAAGGCAAAGAGCAACUUUAAUUUUUGUUCAUUGCGAAGUGUUGGUUGAAUGGUUCAAUACAGUAUAGCAUACUGUUCUGCUUGGUAAACUGUUGCAUCGGGCCUAUGUUAUCAGAAAAUUUUGGCAUCCACACAAUGUGUAUCUCAUUUUUAUCCUUCGAGUCCAAGACACUGCUAAUGCCACAAAUUGUUACAAAUAUAUGAAAUGUAUGUCUAUGGAUUGAAAGUUUUAAUUAAAAAAUUCGUAUUCCAACUUUU